GAGGCUGCAGUGGGGAAUAUUGCGCAAUGGGCGGAAGCCUGACGCAGCGACGCCGCGUGGGGGAUGACGGCCUUCGGGUUGUAAACCUCUUUCGGCCUUGACGAAGCUCUUCGGGGUGACGGUAGGGGUAGAAGAAGCACCGGCCAACUACGUGCCAGCAGCCGCGGUAAUACGUAGGGUGCGAGCGUUGUCCGGAAUUAUUGGGCGUAAAGAGCUCGUAGGCGGUCUGUCGCGUCGGUCGUGAAAACUUGGGGCUUAACCCUGAGCUUGCGGUCGAUACGGGCAUGACUGGAGUUCGGCAGGGGAGACUGGAAUUCCUGGUGUAGCGGUGAAAUGCGCAGAUAUCAGGAGGAACACCGGUGGCGAAGGCGGGUCUCUGGGCCGAUACUGACGCUGAGGAGCGAAAGCGUGGGGAGCGAACAGGAUUAGAUACCCUGGUAGUCCACGCCGUAAACGGUGGGCGCUAGGUGUGGGGG
This 476-nucleotide ribosomal RNA is filed under the name uncultured bacterium. RNAcentral's name for it is "bacterial SSU rRNA". It matches the Rfam family "Bacterial small subunit ribosomal RNA", at positions 345 to 828 of the family's 1533-position model. The record is from RNAcentral.